Molecule: ribosomal RNA, 253 nt
Filed under: uncultured bacterium
Lineage: Bacteria
Description: partial 16S ribosomal RNA
Rfam family: Bacterial small subunit ribosomal RNA
Source: RNAcentral
UACGAAGGGGGCUAGCGUUGUUCGGAUUUACUGGGCGUAAAGCGCGUGUAGGCGGGCUGGUAAGUUGGGGGUGAAAUCCCGAGGCUCAACCUCGGAACUGCCUCCAAAACUGUCAGCCUGGAGCAAGAUAGAGGCGAGUGGAAUUGCGAGUGUAGAGGUGAAAUUCGUAGAUAUUCGCAGGAACACCAGUGGCGAAGGCGACUCGCUGGAUCUUUGCUGACGCUGAGACGCGAAAGCGUGGGGAGCAAACAGG